This is a long non-coding RNA of Chiloscyllium plagiosum (whitespotted bambooshark), 1726 nucleotides long. RefSeq lists it as uncharacterized. The record is from RefSeq and is a predicted model, not a curated record. NCBI's taxonomy places the organism in Eukaryota, Metazoa, Chordata, Chondrichthyes, Orectolobiformes, Hemiscylliidae.
CCUACAUGUGCUUGUACACCUGCAUGCUGAAAGUGAUCAUGCAGGCACAGCAGGCAAUGAAGAAGUGAAAUGAUAUGCUAGUCUUCACAGUGAGAGGAUUCAUGUACAGGAGCAGGGAUGCCUUCCUGUAAAUGUCGAGGGUAACCACACCUGGAGAACUAUCUGCAGUUUCGGUCUCCUUGUUUGAGGAAGGAUAUUCUAGUGAUUGAGGAAGUGUAAAGAAGAUUUGCUAGACUGAUUCCUGGACUGCUGGGGCUGAUGUCUGGAGAGUGACUGGAUUGAUUAGGACUGUAUUCACCGGAGUUAGAGGAAUGAGCAGUGAUCUCAUAGAUACCUAUCCAGUUUUAAUAGAUGGAGAAAGGAUGUUUCUGGGGAGUCCAGGAGACAGAGGAGUGCAGUUGAGAGUCAAUCAUGCUGCUGUGGGUCUAGAGUGAUAUAUAGACCAGACCACACAAGGAUGGCGAUUUUACUCCCCAAAAGACAUUAAUGAACCAGAGGCUGAAGUGGUGUUGCAGGGUGGUGGCUACAGCGUUGGUGGCAUGGAUCAAGACUCCUGGUGGUGUCCAGAGCCUGGAUUCUUGGUGGUGGUAGACUCAAAACUUGGAUUCCUGGCAGUGGUGGUGCUCAGAGUGGGAACUCCUGGCAACAGAAGCCUGGAGCUUGGACUCAUGGCAGUGUCGGAUGCCAGGAGAGCAGAGGUCUCCUGGAGCAUUGACGUCAUUCUUGCUGUUCCUGGAGUGGGACUCCUUGGCUUCUGGAAAACCUUAAAGACUUUGCUGAAGCCCUAAAACUAUGCUCGAGACCCCAAUUUGAAAAAAUGACAAACUCUUAUUUAAGAAAUUUCUUUUUAUCUUUAUUGUACCUCAAGAUAGUGCUGGAUUGUGGUGACAAAACACUUUUCACUGAUAUAUACGGUAAUAAAUUGUUCAUUCAAGGAAAUCCCAUAAAGACAAGAUAAGAUGUGCGACAUUAGUCAGUGUCGCAUUCAACAUAAUUUUUGCUCAUUCACUUUAAAAUCUUGCUAGUGUAGAAAUCCUUUCAUAUGUGUUAAUAGAGGUUAUUGCAACUGGACCAGAAAAUCCAUUAUUUGGUUGGUGCUCAUUUGGAUUGGAUUACAAGUACCAGAGGAUGAUGGCUCAAACUCACCAUCCACUAUUAAUGUUCUUAGAUGUCAGCCAGGGUUUCUGUUGAUUGCACUUUCAUCCAAGAAGAUAGUGACUUAGGUUGUCUGAUAUGAACACAAAAACCAAACCUGACACUCUGGUGCAGAACUGACUGUACACUGAGAUUUGUGGUGCCCUUUUUAAAAGGUAAGGCUUCAAACUCCCAUCUGCUCUCUCAACUGGGUGCAAAAGAUCCCAUGUUGUUACUUAGAAUAAAAGUUAGAGAAGUUCACUCCUGGUAUUCUGGUUAAUAUUGAUCCUUCAAAUCACAUUUCAUAUCACAUGGCCGAUUGGAGGAGCUGGAAAUGCACAAACUGAUAAUGCUGCAUUUCUGGAACACUAGUUGCUGCCCAUUGGGGCAUAUUCUUUGCAUACACAGUUGCAGUCUGUGAGCCAUCAUUACAUUCCAUUAGAAACAUUUGCAAUAACAACCUGUAGGAAAAGUUCACAACUGUUCACUCUCAAAAUUUGCAUCAUUAAAGAUGUUGAUACAAGCGAUCCAACAAUAUUCUGUAUGCUUUAGUAAUGUUAAAAAUGUGGGAGUCAAAAAGUUUAGCUGCAAA